GCCGCAAUGUGAACAGUUUCAUUAACGAUCAAACCCUGACCCAGCCCACCGCCGUGACCACGCCUCGGCCCCGGAGGUAGAGAAGCGCAAACGCGUUCGCUGUGGAAGCAAGAGGGUCACACACGAGCAGCAUCUGUAAGCACUUGAAAUAAACCACUUUUAAGAAAUCAACCAUGUCUGAAGGUGAGGGAUUCGUUGUCCGUGUUCGUGGGCUGCCCUGGUCCUGCUCAGUUGAUGAAGUUCAGAGGUUUUUCUCAGACUGCAAAAUUGCAAAUGACACUACUGCCAUCCACUUCACCUAUACCAGAGAGGGGAGGCCAAGUGGAGAGGCUUUCGUUGAACUGGAGACGGAGGAAGACCUGAAAAUUGCAGUUAAAAAAGAUAGAGAAACCAUGGGGCAUAGAUAUGUGGAAGUGUUUAGAUCGAACAAUGUUGAAAUGGAUUGGGUUAUGAAACACACUGGUCCCAACAGCCCUGAGUCUGAGGGUGAUGGCCUGGUCCGACUCAGAGGCCUUCCGUUUGGCUGCAGCAAAGAAGAAAUAGUCCAGUUUUUCUCAGGGUUGGAAAUCGUGCCAAAUGGGAUUACAUUGCCGGUGGACUUCCAGGGGAGGAGUACGGGGGAGGCCUUCGUGCAGUUUGCUUCACAGGAUAUAGCUGAAAAGGCUCUAAAGAAACACAAGGAAAGAAUAGGGCACAGGUAUAUUGAAAUUUUCAAGAGCAGCCGAUCAGAAGUGCGCACCCAUUACGAGCCCCCGCGGAAACCCAUGGGAAUGCAGCGCCCAGGGCCCUAUGACAGACCCGGCGGUGGAAGGGGCUACAACAACAUGGGUCGUGGUGGAUCCUUCGACCGAAUGAGGAGAGGAGGAUAUGGUGGCGGCUAUGGUAGUUAUGAUGACUACAAUGGAUACAGUGAUGGCUAUGGUUUUGGCUCCGACCAGCGGUUUGGACGAGGUACUGAAGGAGUGUCUGAUGGUCGUUAUGGGGAUGGAACUUCCUCUUUCCAGAGCACCACAGGCCACUGUGUACACAUGAGGGGACUGCCCUAUCGUGCUACAGAAACAGACAUAUAUAAUUUCUUCUCACCGUUGAACCCGGUAAGAGUUCACAUAGAGAUCGGCCCCGAUGGCAGGGUAACAGGAGAGGCCGAUGUGGAGUUUGCUACCCAUGAGGAUGCUGUGGCUGCCAUGUCUAAAGACAAAGCAAAUAUGCAACACAGAUAUGUUGAGCUUUUCCUGAAUUCCACUGCUGGAGGAAAUAAUGGCGCCUAUGGUAACCAGAUCAUGGGAACAAUGGCAAACCAGUCCACUUACGGCCCCAGUAAUCAGCAGUUGAGUGGCGGAUACACGGGCGGCUACAGCAACCAGACCAGCAUGGGCGGCUACGGUGAGUACAGCCUGGAUGGUAAACAAAUCUAUGAUGUAACGUGCCAUAAAAAUGAAUCGGCCGUCGAAAGCUAUUGGUCGGCAACAGAGAUGCCAACUGCUACGAUCUGACCAUAGCAGCUACUAUAUUGGAGGUUCUGCUACGGCGUUAUGCCAAAGAGGUAGUCAAAGUGGAAUCAACAGCAGCUACUAUGGAAGUGGAAGCCGAGGCUCGGUGGGUGUGAAUGGAAUGGCUGGAAUGUCAAGCAGCAUGAACAUGAGUGGAGGAUGGGGAAUGUGAGCAGCUUCAAUGGAAGAAACAAAUGAGAAUUCUGUACAACAAAAAUCAAUAAAAUACAUGGACUCCAGCUCUGCUGUAACAGAUUUAAGAUGGUUUGCUUACUGUACUAGCAAUCAGGGUUGCCAUUUCAAAUAUUCUUUCCAAGGAAGGAUGAAAGAUGUCUCGGCAGCCUAACCCUUCGAUGUUUAAAUAUGUUAAUUGCUGGUCUUCACUUUUGUUCUGUGUAAGUCUUUUUAAGUUUCCGUAGACUCUUUUUUCAGCAGUAAGUAACCAAGGGCUAAAGGCCUUCAAUUUAGUAUUACAGGGUCUUGAGAGUUACCAUUUUCUGAGAUUUGUUUCCUUAAGUUUUUUGAUUGCAUGAAGAGACAUGCUUUUGUAAAUAUAUGGUUAAGAUGUAUAUGGACACUGAUGUUCAGUUGAAAGCUGCAAGGAUUUCCAGCCAUUAUUUUCUUAAGGUGUAGGACCUUAAAUCGGAGUGGGUUUUUUAUAUUCUGUGGAAGAGCAUGUUUGAGUUGCUUUUUUAAAAUUCCGUGGAAACUUGCCUAAAGACGCAAUACAGAGCAAACAUUUUAAGCCUUUUGUCAUGGAAGUAAAAAUUUGGUAUUUUUUUUUUUUUGUUUUUGUUUUGUUUAAUUCUAUGUAUUGCGCAAAGUUAAUAAACUUGAGUAACUGUG
RNA transcript from Acipenser ruthenus (sterlet), 2336 nucleotides. It is a transcript of the gene named heterogeneous nuclear ribonucleoprotein H-like, with no coding region annotated. The transcript has 13 exons. The record is from RefSeq and is a predicted model, not a curated record. NCBI's taxonomy places the organism in Eukaryota, Metazoa, Chordata, Actinopteri, Acipenseriformes, Acipenseridae.